RNAcentral lists this ribosomal RNA (339 nucleotides) under uncultured bacterium. Its description in RNAcentral is "bacterial SSU rRNA". It matches the Rfam family "Bacterial small subunit ribosomal RNA", at positions 335 to 662 of the family's 1533-position model. The record is from RNAcentral.
ACUCCUACGGGAGGCAGCAGUGGGGAAUAUUGCACAAUGGGGAAAGCCCAUCGAUGCAGCCAUGCCGCGUGUGUGAAGAAGGCCUUCGGGUUGGUAAAGACACUUUCAGUAGGGAGGAAGGUAGUGUAGUUAACACCUGCAUUAUUUGACGUUACCUACAGAAGAAGCACCGGCUAACUCCGUGCCAGCAGCCGCGGUAAUACGGAGGGUGCGAGCGUUAAUCGGAAUUACUGGGCGUAAAGCGCAUGCAGGCGGCCUGUUAAGUCAGAUGUGAAAGCCCGGGGCUUAACCUCGGAAUUGCAUUUGAAACUGGCAGGCUAGAGUCUUGUAGAGGGGGUG